UGCGGGGUGGAGCAGUCUGGUAGCUCGUUGGGCUCAUAACCCAAAGGUCGGAGGUUCAAAUCCUCCCCCCGCUACCA
RNAcentral lists this transfer RNA (77 nucleotides) under Nitrospinota bacterium. RNAcentral describes it as "tRNA-Met". It matches the Rfam family "tRNA". From Rfam's summary of the family: Transfer RNA (tRNA) molecules are approximately 80 nucleotides in length. Their secondary structure includes four short double-helical elements and three loops (D, anti-codon, and T loops). Further hydrogen bonds mediate the characteristic L-shaped molecular structure. tRNAs have two regions of fundamental functional importance: the anti-codon, which is responsible for specific mRNA codon recognition, and the 3' end, to which the tRNAs corresponding amino acid is attached (by aminoacyl-tRNA synthetases). tRNAs cope with the degeneracy of the genetic code in two manners: having more than one tRNA (with a specific anti-codon) for a particular amino acid; and 'wobble' base-pairing, i.e. permitting non-standard base-pairing at the 3rd anti-codon position. The record is from RNAcentral. Lineage: Bacteria; Pseudomonadati; Nitrospinota.